GUAGGUGAACCUGCGGAAGGAUCAUUAUCACGUAUCCACGUAUAAACCAUUGUGAACUGUCACCCACCUUUGUAAGAAACUCAGAAGAAUGUAAACGCUCAUGGUCCUUAUUGUAAUUUAAGACCUGUUUGCAUUCGAUCGCCGGGCAACCGACGGUAUGACUUCUCUCAAAGUGUAUUUAAAUUACAUUUGAUUAACAAUUUGAACAACCUUUUAAACUUUGAACUAACUUGUUUCUUACUCUUAACCG
Molecule: unclassified non-coding RNA, 250 nt
Filed under: plant metagenome
Description: partial contains small subunit ribosomal RNA, internal transcribed spacer 1, and 5.8S ribosomal RNA
Source: RNAcentral